GAUGAACGCUAGCUACAGGCUUAACACAUGCAAGUCGAGCGGAAACGAUGAGAGAUCUUGCUCUCUUAGUCGUCGACCGGCGCACGGGUGAGUAACGCGUAUCCAACCUGCCUCUGACCAAGGGAUAACCCGUCGAAAGUCGGACUAAUACCUUAUGCAGUCGUCGGAAGUCAUCUGAUGACGACGAAAGAUUUCAUCGGUGAGAGAUGGGGAUGCGUCUGAUUAGCUUGUUGGCGGGGUAACGGCCCACCAAGGCGACGAUCAGUAGGGGUUCUGAGAGGAAGGUCCCCCACAUUGGAACUGAGACACGGUCCAAACACCUACGGGAGGCAGCAGUGAGGAAUGUUGGGCAAUGGGCGUAAGCCUGAACCAGCCAAGUAGCGUGCAGGAUGGCGGCCCUAUGGGUUGUAAACUGCUUUUAGGCGGGGAUAAAGUGAGGGACAUGUCCUUCAUUGCAGGUACCGCAUGAAUAAGGACCGGCUAAUUCCGUG
This 491-nucleotide ribosomal RNA is filed under the name uncultured bacterium. Its description in RNAcentral is "partial 16S ribosomal RNA". It matches the Rfam family "Bacterial small subunit ribosomal RNA", at positions 28 to 507 of the family's 1533-position model. The record is from RNAcentral.